AUCUAUAUUUAGAACAUGGCUUUAUGGUUGAGUUUAUCUUAUAUUUGUCUGCCUAUUGCUCGUUGUGACAGCCAGAGUCAAAGAAUGUUAGUAUAAUACUUUAUUCAGAAGAUUGAGAUUAGCUGGAGAAGUAGGCAUAAUUAUUUUUCUCAAUCCUGGACAAAGCCUUCUCAACUUAAAGAAGCAUCCAAACAAGUACACAUCUCCUCUCAAAUCAUGAAACGGCAUGCCCAAAUUUGCUCCAAAGUGUUCCCUAAUGAUGCUUCGCACUGGUAAAUAUAAUAAGAGAGAGCACUUAGCUACAAUGAGGUCUACUUGCCGUGUGUGAUGGGUCCACCAAAAUAGGCCACAUUACAUCAUGCACAGCUUGGGAAUGUGGAACUUUUCCAAAGGGCCACUCUGACCCCUGCGUGACGCUUGGACCUUCUUGGAGACCAAGUGCUUGUUGCCCACAAAUUUCCACCUUAGUUAGCAAUAUUUAAUUUAAAAAGUAAGGGACUAUAUCAUCCUUUCAUUAGGAUUAACUUAUCCAAUGUUUUGGGGGCCAUGAUUCAAAGAUGGAUAGAAAGAAUUUUUUAAAUAUGAGUCUCUCGGUAUACUUGUAGGAAGGAAACCCUAGUACAUUUCUUUGUUCUUGGUUAUCCUUCUUCUUGCAGAAAUUGGAUAUCAGAGUUAUGCAGACCCAUUUGAAGUCCUAUUUUCUGGUUGCAAGGCCCGCCCUCUAUCCCCCUUGUCUUGUUGAUUGGAGAUUGGAGUGGAGAUUCUAUAAAUUUUCUUUAGAAGAAAGAUAGUUGGAGCACUGCACUUAUCUUU
Non-coding RNA from Phoenix dactylifera (date palm), 813 nucleotides. The record is from RefSeq and is a predicted model, not a curated record. NCBI's taxonomy places the organism in Eukaryota, Viridiplantae, Streptophyta, Magnoliopsida, Arecales, Arecaceae.